RNAcentral lists this transfer RNA (80 nucleotides) under Operophtera brumata (winter moth). It matches the Rfam family "tRNA". Rfam says of the family: Transfer RNA (tRNA) molecules are approximately 80 nucleotides in length. The record is from Rfam by way of RNAcentral. Lineage: Eukaryota; Metazoa; Arthropoda; Insecta; Lepidoptera; Geometridae.
CGAUCUAUGGCUAAAUUGUUUAUGGCAUCGCCGAUUACAGGCGAGGCGCGAGGGUGCGGGUUCGAGUCCUGCUAGAACGG